Molecule: ribosomal RNA, 550 nt
Filed under: uncultured bacterium
Lineage: Bacteria
Description: bacterial SSU rRNA
Rfam family: Bacterial small subunit ribosomal RNA
Source: RNAcentral
UAGGGAAUCUUCGGCAAUGGGGGCAACCCUGACCGAGCAACGCCGCGUGAGUGAAGAAGGUUUUCGGAUCGUAAAGCUCUGUUGUAAGAGAAGAACGAGUGUGAGAGUGGAAAGUUCACACUGUGACGGUAACUUACCAGAAAGGGACGGCUAACUACGUGCCAGCAGCCGCGGUAAUACGUAGGUCCCGAGCGUUAUCCGGAUUUAUUGGGCGUAAAGCGAGCGCAGGCGGUUAGAUAAGUCUGAAGUUAAAGGCUGUGGCUUAACCAUAGUACGCUUUGGAAACUGUUUAACUUGAGUGCAGAAGGGGAGAGUGGAAUUCCAUGUGUAGCGGUGAAAUGCGUAGAUAUAUGGAGGAACACCGGUGGCGAAAGCGGCUCUCUGGUCUGUAACUGACGCUGAGGCUCGAAAGCGUGGGGAGCGAACAGGAUUAGAUACCCUGGUAGUCCACGCCGUAAACGAUGAGUGCUAGGUGUUGGAUCCUUUCCGGGAUUCAGUGCCGCAGCUAACGCAUUAAGCACUCCGCCUGGGGAGUACGACCGCAAGGUUG